CCUGCGGAGGGAUCAUUACUGAGUUUACGCUCUACAACCCUUUGUGAACAUACCUAUAACUGUUGCUUCGGCGGGUAGGGUCUCCGUGACCCUCCCGGCCUCCCGCCCCCGGGCGGGUCGGCGCCCGCCGGAGGAUAACCAAACUCUGAUUUAACGACGUUUCUUCUGAGUGGUACAAGCAAAUAAUCAAAACUUUUAACAACGGAUCUCUUGGUUCUGGCAUCGAUGAAGAACGCAGCGAAAUGCGAUAAGUAAUGUGAAUUGCAGAAUUCAGUGAAUCAUCGAAUCUUUGAACGCACAUUGCGCCCGCCAGCAUUCUGGCGGGCAUGCCUGUUCGAGCGUCAUUUCAACCCUCAAGCUCUGCUUGGUGUUGGGGCCCUACAGCUGAUGUAGGCCCUCAAAGGUAGUGGCGGACCCUCCCGGAGCCUCCUUUGCGUAGUAACUUUACGUCUCGCACUGGGAUCCGGAGGGACUCUUGCCGUAAAACCCCCAAUUCUCCAAAGGUUGACCUCGGAUCAGGUAGGAAUACCCGCUGAACUUAAGCAUAUCAAUAA
This 554-nucleotide ribosomal RNA is filed under the name Colletotrichum asianum. Its description in RNAcentral is "eukaryotic LSU rRNA". The stretch from base 191 to 344 matches the Rfam family "5.8S ribosomal RNA". Lineage: Eukaryota; Fungi; Ascomycota; Sordariomycetes; Glomerellales; Glomerellaceae. The record is from RNAcentral.